Molecule: ribosomal RNA, 497 nt
Filed under: uncultured bacterium
Lineage: Bacteria
Description: partial 16S ribosomal RNA
Rfam family: Bacterial small subunit ribosomal RNA
Source: RNAcentral
GAUGAACGCUGGCGGCGUGCCUAAUACAUGCAAGUCGAGCGAACAGACGAGGAGCUUGCUCCUCUGACGUUAGCGGCGGACGGGUGAGUCACACGUGGUUAACCUACCUAUAAGACUGGGAUAACUUCGGGAAACCGGAGCUAAUACCGGAUAAUAUAUUGAACCGCAUUGUUCCAUAGUGAAAGAAGGUUUUGCUGUCACUAAUAGAUGGAUCCGCGCCGAAUUAGCUAGUUGGUAAGGUAAAGGAUUACCAAGGCGAGGAUGGUUAGCCGACCUGAGCGGGUGGUCGGCCACACGGGAAGUGAGACACGGCCCAGACUCCGACGGGAGGCAGCAGUAGGGAAUCUUCCGCAAGGGGCGAAAGCCGGACGGAGCAAAGCCGCGUGAGGGAUGAAGGUCUUCGGAUCGGAGAACGCUGUUAGUAGUAGAGAACAAAUGUGUAAGUAACUAUGCACGUCUUGACGGUACCUAAACAGAAAGCCACGGCUAACUACGUG